CCUACGGGAGGCAGCAGUGAGGAAUAUUGGUCAAUGGACGAGAGUCUGAACCAGCCAAGUAGCGUGAAGGAGGACUGCCCUAUGGGUUGUAAACUUCUUUUAUAAAGGAAUAAAACGAGGCACGUGUGCCUUUUUGCAUGUACUUUAUGAAUAAGGAUCGGCUAACUCCGUGCCAGCAGCCGCGGUAAUACGGAGGAUCCGAGCGUUAUCCGGAUUUAUUGGGUUUAAAGGGAGCGUAGAUGGGUUGUUAAGUCAGUUGUGAAAGUUUGCGGCUCAACCGUAAAAUUGCAAUUGAUACUGGCAUUCUUGAGUACAGUUGAGGUAAGCGGAAUUCGUGGUGUAGCGGUGAAAUGCUUAGAUAUCACGAAGAACCCCGAUUGCGAAGGCAGCUUACUAAACUGUGACUGACAUUGAUGCUCGAAAGUGUGGGUAUCAAACAGGAUUAGAUACCCGAGUAGUC
Molecule: ribosomal RNA, 460 nt
Filed under: uncultured bacterium
Lineage: Bacteria
Description: partial 16S ribosomal RNA
Rfam family: Bacterial small subunit ribosomal RNA
Source: RNAcentral